GAUGAAGAACGUAGCGAAAUGCGAUAAGUAAUGCGAAUUGCAGAAUUUCCGUGAGUCAUCGAAUCUUUGAACGCACAUUGCGCCCCUUGGUAUUCCGGGGGGCAUGCCUGUUCGAGCGUCAUUAUAACCCCUCAAGCUCAGCUUGGUGUUGGGGCCUGCCGACUGGCAGCCCUUAAAAUCAGUGGCGGCGCCAUCUGGCUCUAAGCGUAGUAAUUUCUCUCGCUAUAGAGUCCCGGUGGACGCUUGCCAGCAACCCCCAACUUUCUAUGGUUGACCUCGGAUCAGGUAGGGAUACCCGCUGAACUUAAGCAUAUCAAUAAGCGGAGGA
RNAcentral lists this unclassified non-coding RNA (328 nucleotides) under soil metagenome. Its description in RNAcentral is "partial contains 5.8S ribosomal RNA, internal transcribed spacer 2, and large subunit ribosomal RNA". The stretch from base 1 to 121 matches the Rfam family "5.8S ribosomal RNA", at positions 35 to 154 of the family's 154-position model. The record is from RNAcentral.